GAUGAACGCUGGCGGCGUGCCUAAUACAUGCAAGUCGAGCGAACAGACGAGAGUGCUUGCACUCUCUGACGUUAGCGGCGGACGGGUGAGUAACACGUGGGUAACCUACCUAUAAGACUGGGAUAACUUCGGGAAACCGGAGCUAAUACCGGAUAAUAUUUAGCUUCGCAUGAAGCAAUAGUGAAAGACGGUUCUGCUGUCACUUAUAGAUGGACCCGCGGUGUAUUAGCUAGUUGGUGAGGUAACGGCUCACCAAGGCAACGAUACAUAGCCGACCUGAGAGGGUGAUCGGACACACUGGGACUGAGACACGGCCCAGACUCAUACGGGAGGCAGCAGUAGGGAAUCUUCCGCAAUGGACGAAAGUCUGACGGAGCAAUGCCGCGUGAGUGAAGAAGGUUUUCGGAUCGUAAAACUCUGUUGUAAGGGAAGAACAAGUACGUUAGUAACUGAACGUACCUUGACGGUACCUUACCAGAAAGCCACGGCUAACUACGUG
This 499-nucleotide ribosomal RNA is filed under the name uncultured bacterium. RNAcentral describes it as "partial 16S ribosomal RNA". It matches the Rfam family "Bacterial small subunit ribosomal RNA", at positions 28 to 507 of the family's 1533-position model. The record is from RNAcentral.